Molecule: long non-coding RNA, 369 nt
Filed under: Nicotiana benthamiana
Lineage: Eukaryota; Viridiplantae; Streptophyta; Magnoliopsida; Solanales; Solanaceae
Description: long non-coding RNA (NBEN_LNC038327)
Source: RNAcentral
AUUAUUUCAUGUCAGAAAUUUAAACUCUUGUUGCCGUUUGGCUCCUCAAUCGAUUUGUGUCAGUUCCAAGUCAGGUCAUAACUCUUCAACAAUCGAUUAUUGCAUCUCAACAAUCGAUUGUCUAACGGUCAGUGAAUUUAUUUUACCGUUUCUGACUGAUUUGGCUUUAAAUUCUCAGCGGAUUUCUUCCAUAAAUGAUAAGCCACUCUCCCCUCUAUAAAUAGGCUUCAUAUAUGUUCAUAUGCAUUCACUCAAGCAUCAAUUGUGGCUUUCAAAAUAUCAAAUUCUCUCUAAUCCUUUGCAAAAUCCAGCAGCUUUCAUUAAAAAUAUCGGGCCGUCACUCAAAGCGUUCCCGUUCUGCUAGGCACG